UACGGAGGGUGCGAGCGUUAUCCGGAAUUACUGGGCUUAAAGGGUGCGUAGGCGGCUAUGUAAGUCAGAUAGUGAAAGUUUGCGGCUCAACCGUAAAAUUGCUUUUGAUACUGCAUGGCUAGAAUCAGGAUGAGGUUAGCGGAAUGUGGCAUGUAGCGGUGAAAUGCAUAGAUAUGCCAUAGAACACCAAUUGCGAAGGCAGCUGGCUAGACCUGUAUUGACGCUGAGGCACGAAAGCGUGGGGAUCGAACAGG
RNAcentral lists this ribosomal RNA (254 nucleotides) under uncultured bacterium. RNAcentral describes it as "partial 16S ribosomal RNA". It matches the Rfam family "Bacterial small subunit ribosomal RNA", at positions 524 to 776 of the family's 1533-position model. The record is from RNAcentral.